RNAcentral lists this long non-coding RNA (1025 nucleotides) under Sus scrofa (pig). RNAcentral's name for it is "lncRNA (ENSSSCG00005025093.1)". The record is from RNAcentral. Lineage: Eukaryota; Metazoa; Chordata; Mammalia; Artiodactyla; Suidae.
ACUCCGCAGGAAAUUGAGUUCCCGAACCCGAUGCAGAGAUGGGGAAGGGGGGAGCCAAAAGAAGGGUUUGCUGUCCAUCUUUGGCGCCAGAGGAAAAGUCAGCCCCCAGAAGCUAAGCACUGAGAAGUCCAAUCUUCCACAUCCAGGGGUUUCCAGAUUCCCACUCGUGUAAGAAAUGCAGCGUGAUGUCCCAGUUUUCGUGUUUUUCUUGAGAUGUGGUCCCCUUGGAGGAGCUUCCCCCGCCAGGAUGGAAUUUCAGAGCUUUCGGCUCGAGAAGAAGGGAAAUGCCCCAAACAGCCACCCGCCAGGCCCCUUGUGGCCGCUGAGAAGUUGGGGAGGAUGCAGCCAUAAAGGAGGAUGUGAAAAGUAGGCGAGAUCGCAAGGCACGAAUCUUGGAAUCUUCGUGUUUCAUCAGGAAGGCAGAGGAGGAAGGAGUCUGCGAGGUGCAGCCGCCUCUUCUGACCUCAGGAUGGAUGGAGAGGGCGUGAAGGACCCGUCAGUGACCAGCUGUUGCACAGAGAGCCCAGGGGAAGGGGGUGCCCUGGCGGGCACAUGGGAACCGAUGCUGCAGCUCAUGAAAAGUUGGAGGAACAAACUGCUUUGUCCCAGGAGAAGAGGAGCAGGAUGGAACGGACGCCCGCUGUAAUCGUGGGCGGAACCGGAGGGACGGAUGCAACGCUUGGCGCUUCCGAUUCUGACAGUGGCUGACCUCACGGGAGAUGGAUGGGGGAGGGUCCAGAUGUUUCGAUGAGGAAACGGAGGCCACUAAGUGUUGUGUAACGUCCCAAGGGGACCCAGCUCUGAAGCGGUGGAGUCAGAAUGGGUUGCUUAACAGCCACCCCCACCCUCGGCUCGGAAGACGUCCACACCCAGAUCAAAGACCCCGUGCAGCAGGACCUGAGGAUGCAGUCCAUUGUCUGAGCUUGGGCUGCGGACGCAGACUCCCCCAGACUUGAGGCUCACCCCGCAGGCGUGUAUGUCUCACCCUGCUGCAGACCGGAAGUCUGAGACUGAGAUGUAGCUUC